GUGACAGCCGCCGCGGUAAUACGGAGGGUGCAAGCGUUAUCCGGAUUCACUGGGUUUAAAGGGUGCGUAGGAGGGCAAGUAAGUCAGUGGUGAAAUCUCCGAGCUUAACUCGGAAACUGCCGUUGAUACUAUCUGUCUUGAAUACCGUGGAGGUGAGCGGAAUAUGUCAUGUAGCGGUGAAAUGCUUAGAUAUGACAUAGAACACCCAUUGCGAAGGCAGCUAACUACACGAUCAUUGACACUGAGGCACGAAAGCGUGGGGAGCAAACAGGAUUAGAAACCCUGGUAGUCC
Molecule: ribosomal RNA, 292 nt
Filed under: uncultured bacterium
Lineage: Bacteria
Description: partial 16S ribosomal RNA
Rfam family: Bacterial small subunit ribosomal RNA
Source: RNAcentral